AACAACAGGAUUGCUUAGUUAGCGGCGAGUGAAGCGGCAAUAGCUCAAAUUUGAAAUCUGCCAACAGGCCGAGUUGUAAUUUGAAGAAAGCAUUUUGGAUGUGUCUCUGCUCAAGUUCCUUGGAAUAGGACAUCAUGGAGGGUGAGAAUCCCGUGAUGCGGAGGUAGCAUAUCUGUGUAAAUUGUUUUCGACGAGUCGAGUUGUUUGGGAAUGCAGCUCAAAGUGGGUGGUAAAUUCCAUCUAAAGCUAAAUAUUGGCGAGAGACCGAUAGCGAACAAGUACUGUGAAGGAAAGAUGAAAAAGAACUUUGGAAAAGAGAGUGAAAAAGUACGUGAAAUUGUUGAAAUGGAAGGGCUUGAGAUUAGACAUGGUGUUUAGUGUUCCACUUUCUUUUUGGGAAUGUGUACUCGCUUUAUACUGGGCCAGCAUCAGUUUUGGGGAA
Molecule: ribosomal RNA, 442 nt
Filed under: [Candida] sp. UFMGCB L93
Lineage: Eukaryota; Fungi; Ascomycota; Saccharomycetes; Saccharomycetales
Description: eukaryotic LSU rRNA
Rfam family: Eukaryotic large subunit ribosomal RNA
Source: RNAcentral